GAUGAACGCUGGCGGCGUGCCUAAUACAUGCAAGUCGAGCGAACGGACGAGAAGCUUGCUUCUCUGAUGUUCGCGGCCGACCGGUCAGUCACACGUGCAUAACCUACCUAUAACACUGGGAUAACUUCGGGAACACGGAGCUAAUACCGGAUACUAUCUUGAACCGCAUGGUUCAAAAGUGCAAGACGGUCUUCAUGUCCCCUAUCGACUCCCCCGCUCCGCAUUACAUAGUUCGUAAGGUAACGGCUUACCAAGGCAACGAUGCAUAGCCGGCCUGAGCGGGUGAUCGGCCACACUGGAGCUGAGACGCGGUCCAGGCGGCUACGAGACGCGGCAGUAUGAACGGUUCCGCAAUGGGCGAAAGCCUGACGCACCAACGCCGCUGUAUGUAUGAAGAGCUGCGGAUCGUAAAACUCUGUUAUUAAGUAAGAAGAUAGGGGUAAGUAACUGUGCACAGCUUGGCGGUACCUAAGCAGAAAGCCACGGCUAACUACGUG
RNAcentral lists this ribosomal RNA (497 nucleotides) under uncultured bacterium. RNAcentral's name for it is "partial 16S ribosomal RNA". It matches the Rfam family "Bacterial small subunit ribosomal RNA", at positions 28 to 507 of the family's 1533-position model. The record is from RNAcentral.